Molecule: long non-coding RNA, 921 nt
Filed under: Danio rerio (zebrafish)
Lineage: Eukaryota; Metazoa; Chordata; Actinopteri; Cypriniformes; Danionidae
Description: lncRNA (ENSDARG00000117341.1)
Source: RNAcentral
CAAAAUUACACUGUAAAUAAAAUUAUUGUGGACACUGACAAUUAAAUAUUGACUCAACAAAUGAAUUCACAAUAAUAAGCCCCAAACGAAAAAAAAAAUCCACAUUAUUAAUUUUAGCUGUUGGUCUGAAGUAAAAAUAAAAAAUAUUCAUUCAUCAAACAUAAAACUGUGCUUUGGCAAUUUAUCAAAGAGCAGUGAAAAUUGUGUUUGUGUUUGGCGAACAAACCUUGCAGCAAAAGCGCGUGUACGCAUGCGCGUGAGAGUCGUUUGUUGGAUCAGGUUUAAAUUCCAGCGCAGCAAUCGCAGAGCUCCUCCGAAACAUCAUAUUCAGGCGAUUUUCCUUCAUCAAAGUUAUGAAUGGUUGCUUCCACGAAUCCUGCAACUUCCACAUCUUCAAGUGAUUCUGAUGUAAAUCUGCUGUCCAGAAUCAGCUGGUUUGUCUUAGUUGGGCAUCUCUGCUGAGACCAGUCCACUAUGGGUGACCCUACCGGUAUCUGUGAAGUACCAGUGGCGAAGCUCUCAGCAUCACUGAUGCACACAAGCCCUCACAGCACGUCAAGCUGCAAACCACGUGAGGGACCCUAACCUAACCUAACCUAACCUACCCUAACCUAACAGACACCCCAAACCACUUAACGCAUCGAAACUCUCAGAAGAGUCCAGCGACCGACCAGCAACACGAGAACAACCGCUCAGAAAACCUCGACAACCGUGCAGAAAACCACCUGAAACAUCCUGAAGACCACCGAGCAAACCAAGAACUUCAAGUCAACAACACCAACACCAACAACCAACCAGUUGAUGAAACAAAACAUGCAAAAGGAAACUUACUGUGAACUUGCUCUACAACUAUGUACACUAUAUACAUACGCAGGCCUGCAGUGUGGUUUGGGACACUGUGAAGACUCAGCGUCUGGCCCU